AAGUCAAACUUCCCACAGGAGAGAUGGGGCAGAUCUAGACAAUCUUUUCUCCUUAGUUCCCUGGAUAGAGUUGUCAGACCCCUCGCCCCGUAGAGAUACUGGUAACAGCAGAUGUAAAGCAAAGGGAAUUUUAAUUCUGCACAAGAUUCUAAUACACUUGAGGCUGUAAAAGAGGACAAAGUUGGAGGCUCCGCAGGAGGCUCUGGGGCGGGGCAGGAACAGAGAACCGGUUCUGAGAAAACCGCAAGUCAAAUCUCCCCACCCCGCGCCCCCGCGGCCUCAGGGGGCGCCCUGGCCGCUCGGGACGGAGCUCUCCAGCAAGGGGGCAGGUCUGGCCGGUCGCUGGAGGGCGUCCUCGUGCACUGCCAGGCACUUACUCGUUUGGAAAACAAAUUUCUAACAUUUAGGACCACGUUGGCAGGGACGAGAGGCCGAAGACAUUUUCACACUCAUUUCAAAAUUGGGAAGCGCCUCCUGGAAGAAGCUUCCAGCCUAAGAAUUUGUCGGGAAAUGGGAGUCCCAUGUUGAGAGAAGGAAGGAAAAGAAUGAAUAAAACACAUGAAUGUAGGAGACCCUCGUAGGAAGCAAAUCUGUUGUGGCAGCGAAUGUCAGACGCGGCUGGGAGUGUUAAUUGGAGAUGGAAAUAUAAGUAUUAGGAAUUCUGUCUUGCACAGAGCAGGGCCAAACACAAGGCUACUGAUAGACUGAGCAGCAUCUCCCACGUGAUAAAUGGCACCCAGACAAGGCACUGUCCACUGUAAGCGCCGUUCUGAGUGCUGCCCUGCGUGUCCAGGCCCAGCUGUCGGCGUGCUUGGCGGCGGCGGCAGACCGGGACCACCGGCCGCUGUCUGCGCAGGACCCGGAAUGACAGCAGAAGGCGCCCCGGGGCGCUUGACAGGCCCUGGUCAUCAUGAUGGAGGACUGCCCGCCACCUCGAAGGGUCUCGGGCUGAGAGGCUGCCUCUUAUGCAAUCAUUAUUCCCAGCUCUGUCUUUCGUGGUGGAAAAUGGCUGGCAUCCAAAAGUCUACAGCAACUAACAUUAACCAUCCAGAGAUUUCAGAAGAGGUGCCGGGUUCCCGGUGCAGGGACUCAGCUUGGUCAACAAGCAGAAGCCAUGCUCUGUGAAAACGAUGUCCGUGUCCCGUGGCAACUGAAGCCCCGGGUAACUCCGCGGAGGAGGAACGCCGCCCUUUUCAGUUUGACCAGACUUUCUCUAACUGGUCCCGUCAUUCAGCCGCUCUCUGCAGUAGGACAUCACAGUGACACUCCGCUGGGUUCACGGGAAGUGCAGUCACUGGGGGGCUUCCUCUUAGUCAGCGUUUCUGAAGCAGGAGCUCAGUUUGCUCUCCUCCCACGGCAGAGGGGGAAGCGAACACUCACCUGCCACCGGGCGAAACAGAAUUAAUGAUUCAACGGCCGUGGCCCCUCUUUUUCGCAAUGAGCCUCCUUCCUUUCAACGUAACAGAUGGUGCGAACACGUAGGUCACUUGCGGGCCACGGAUGCCCGUCACCAGGGGGGCCAGCCCAGCUCGGCACACUCGCUCGAAGCUCCCCUCGGGGGCCAUGGGACCUUGGUUUUACAGCCGGGGCUUCACAGUCGGACGCAUGGAUGACCUCCGGGGGAUACAGGGGAAAGAACAUGUGCCAUUGGGAAACUUCCGGGAAGCUGUUAUCUUGAACUUCAAGUCUAGGUGAUUCUGAAGGGGCUGGGCUCCCCUGAGACCCAGGCAGAGCCGGCAGCGAGGCCACGCUGGUUUUGAGCCGAGCGGGCGUCGUCUUCUGGGGGCACACGGGGGCGCACGGGGGCACAGGAAAGGGAGCCUCGGGGUCAGAAGGACUGGACCUCCCCUGGCCGCGGGACUCGCCCACCGAGGGCUCCCCUGACAGUUCGUUUACCCCUCUGCACCUUGACUCCCCCGUCUCAAUAGGACGAACCCUAAAACUGGCUCUAGCCAGUGGGACGUGGGAUCGGAUGACGACAGCGUGUGAACCACUGGAAACCAACCACACAUUUUUUUAAUUCAGAUGCUACGUGUUCCUGCUCCUGAGAACAGCGUGUCUACGGCUUUGGCCGCUGGUGUUCCACGGGCGUGUGGCCGUGAUUCAGAGCUUGUCUCGCCACAGAAAGGAUCCAGAGAGGAGACACGAAGGCUAAGACAGUGAAGCAGGGAUGUGUCAAGGGGCGGAUGGGACGCUCUCGGGGGGAGCGGGCAGCUCAGCUGUGCGGCUGCCCCGAGUUUCUUUGACAAGCUGGCUACACGGGGUGUAAAAAUGAAUGAGCAGAAUGUUUACUGUGGAGGGAAGGGUCUGGGGUCAUGUUCUCUGAUUUCCAUCCCAGCUCCACCUUCCCGAAGGGAGGAGGGAGUUCUGACCUUACUUAGUCUGGAUGGGAAGGGUGCACGAUGGGGGCUUCUGAUCUGCGGGGCUAAUUUUAAUGAAAUGAGGGCAUAAUGAGCAAAAGGCUACACUUGGUCACUGGAGACUCCUGCCUUUUCCCCAUCUUUCUCUGUUGGUCUCCAGGGCACUUGUCACCCCCAAACGUGUGACCUUUUAUCAGCCAGAAGUUCCUGCUUUUCUUUCUCUGCCGGGACCCCGUUGUUCACAUGAUGUAGGAUUUCCCGUAUUUGGCCUGUGCCCCCCUGUCUCUGCUCUAACAGAGGGAGGGAGGACUGAGGUCUGAGAAGGGGGUGUCUCCCGGCACAGAGCUGGGAAAAGCAAGGAGACCCUCCUCUCCCCUCAGGGACGGACGUCCUCCGUUCGCUCCCCACACGGGGAAGCCCCGCUCUGGAAGGAAUCCUGUCAGUGGGAACACACCCCCCGUUCUGCAGGUGGAUGAGGUGUCAGUGCCUCGGAUGGUGAGAAGGUGUCCGCCCCGCCGGUGCGGACGCUGCCGGGCCGUGUGCGCCCGCCCUCCCAGGGCAGGGCUGCCCCUCAGCGGGUGUGAAAGGAGAAGGAGCGGACUCCAGCCCAGAGUCGGUGCAGGCGGCAGACGAGAGAUGAAAAGGGAGGGGCUGGAAGAAACCCGAGCUGCGUGCAGGCCCCAGGAGGCCCCGUGCUGGGUUCUGACAGGGGUUCCCUUCUCCAUGGAGAAAGGCCUGGCUGGUGGGUCCUUACGCCAGUGCGGGAGACCAGGGGAAGGCGCUUGGAAGCAGUGGCGUCAUAAACGGAGGAAGUCUGCGCGGGGCCCUGGGAGCCCCGCUGGGGGGCUGUCAGCGUUGAUCUGAGGGGCCCCUGAGGCUGACAAGGCCCCGCCCUGGGGGCCCCACCUGAAUUCUGGGCAAACCGCAGGACCCACCGCAUUCGGACCCUGGCCAGGACCGCCACCCCAGUCGCCAGCCUUACUGGGCUUUUCUUCCGUUGACCCAGAGCGACCCAGACACAUUUCACUCCAGACACUAAGCGUCUGUUUCACAAAAGGGGCCUCAGUUAUUUUGUCGGGCUGCGUCCCACAGACCAUCUUGUCAUCACCGUAACACCGGCGACCGAGUGUGCGCUGGUCAGGAAGCUGACGUCAGAGGGGGCCCGUAUCUUUAGGUGCCUCCUGUGUGUCAAGGACAGGAAAUAGGAAAUUUACCGUAUUUAGGCCUCACUGAAACCCCUCGUAACUGCUCCGUGCAGGCGAUUUUACUCAGUGCUCUUGCAUUUGGUGUCAUUUUAUCCUAAAAAGCACCCUGCGAGGCGGAUCGCAUAACACAGGGCGAAGCCGGAGGAAGGACAGGCCCUGCUGGUGAAUCGCGGCUGCCUGACUUCUGAGCUCUGAGAGGCUCUCCAGGGUGCGCUUUGACUGCCACUGUGUGACAUUCAGCUCCUGUGCGAUGGGACGAGGUGUCGCAGUGGCUUAGAAACCACUGUGAAAUUGCUUUUAUUGAAGCCAAGCAGUCACAACGAAGACAGAAUCAAAAUUAAAAUCUCGGUUGAAACUAACAAAUUUUACAUGAAUUGAUUGGCCAUUUCUAUACAGUUCAGGAAAAAAUCGUGUCAGAUGCCCUUUAUUUUUAUUUUUUUAUUUUUUGACAAGGAAUGCAUAGAGCAUUUAGACGGAGGAUCAUUUAAAAGACGAGGGAAGUGUAAGUCCAAACGCUUGCACGAGUGAGUGUUUCUGUGUGUGUGAUGGUGCGUGUGUGAGAGACAGAAGAGAGCGUCACAAGGAGGGCACCUUGCCCCUCAUUUAAUCAUAAUCGUCUGCAAACCCCAAAUUGUGAGGCAUUCCAUUGGCUUGAGAAGCUCCUCUGGACCACCACAGACGUCUAACAGAGGGUCUUUGGCGAGGAUUUUGCCCCGUUUUUAAUGCGACAAUUAAGACCAAAAGUAAGCGAGCCCACAGCCAGAGCCGGGGACAAACCACACCGUGUCCGCAGAGGGCGCAGGGCUCCCCACCGACUCGGGGUCCUGACGCCACGUCCAGGUGCAGUUCGUGCGUCUCUGGCAACACAGGAACCCUUCCUGGGCCCCUCUCAGCGCUCUGCGCAGUCCUGAAGGAGACUGUCAAGGAAAACAAAACUCCUGGGACGGGGGGAAGGCCAAGUCCAAGACGGACGGCCCAGACCCCGGGAAAGGAGAGUGAGUGACAGGGGCACGGGGAUGGGGCCCCCAGCCUCUGGGGUGAGAAUGAGUGCGGGGUUUUAUUGAAACACUGUAAUAAAAAGCAAAGUUGACUGUUUUCGUACACAAUAUAAGUAAAAGCUUAAGAGCAAAGUAAUAAUAGAGCCUCAUCCCAGAGUCUUCCUCAGAGACCAGAGGCCGCUCGGGGGCCUGGGCCGGAAUCCGGGCUCCGUGGGGCCGCGCUCGUGCACGUUUCAGGGCGCGUCCCCGCCAGUUCGCGGACUCCGCGCCAUUUACCUUAACGGGAGAGGACGCCGAGUGAGACAUCUGAGCCGGACGACUUUAAAGACGCGGUUCCUGCGUGCGGAGGGACUCUCGCCCCGACACGCUGUGACUCAGCGCUGUGACCAGCGACACUCUCCGAGGGAGUCAGGACAGGCGACCACAAACUCGCACCGUGAUGUUUACUGCUGUCAGCGGAGCUCAGAGCAAAUGAACAGUUGAGAAGAGACUGUUCACAGGUGUUCACGGGCGUUACGCCCUCGUCUGUGCACAACGCUGCCUUUUUUCUUCCUUAACUUUGGGAACAGUGUCCUCUGAAAGGUCCCCGUUCUGACGUGGCCACUCCACUCACCAUGUGCUCUCAAACACUCGUUCCCGAAGCCUGUGUUCUCAUGAAUGCAGGGCUGUUCUAAGCUCCUUUGGCCUCAAAGA
Vicugna pacos (alpaca) is the source of this 5256-nucleotide non-coding RNA. The record is from RefSeq and is a predicted model, not a curated record. NCBI's taxonomy places the organism in Eukaryota, Metazoa, Chordata, Mammalia, Artiodactyla, Camelidae.